This 2144-nucleotide long non-coding RNA is filed under the name Pan troglodytes (chimpanzee). Its description in RNAcentral is "lincRNA". The record is from RNAcentral. Lineage: Eukaryota; Metazoa; Chordata; Mammalia; Primates; Hominidae.
ACUUAUCACUGCUGAUGUUAACCUUGAUCUCUUGGUUCAGGUGGUGCCUGCCAGCUGUCUCCACUGUGGAGUUACUAUUUUUCCUUUUCCCCAUUUUAUUCAUCAGAAGCCAGUCACUAAGUGAGGUCAAACUCCAGGACAGGGGAAUUAAGUGCCACCUCCUGGAGAGGGAGCAUUCACAUUUAUUACUUGGGAUCCUUCUGUAAGGAAGAGCUGUUUCUCCUCUAAAAAACUCUUUAAUCCUUUUAAGCCUCAAUUUCUUAAUUGUGAAAUGGGGCUAAUACCUGUAUCCAACCAAGGGAGUAGUUAGAAGGUAACGUGAUAGGUGGAAAGCACUUAACAUAGGCAAAAUGUUAUGAUCAGGAAUGAUCAAGAGACCCAUCCAACUAUCUGAAGGAGUCACUUAACUCUACUGUACUGCAGCGCUGUAAGGUCUGCAUCUUUCACUGGGGGUAAAGGCCCCCAGUCCCUGAGAUGGGCCAGUUUGGAGACAGGCUGGUUUUUUCUCUGUUCUCCUGAGAGCCCUUCAGAUGAGAAGGGAGGUCUGGAGACAGAAUGCCAAAGGCCCAUUAAAGGCACGGCCUUGCAUUUCAGAGAGGGAGCAGGUCUAGAGAAGAACCAGAGGAGCUCAGCUGAGAUAUGGUGUAUGGAUUGGAUUUUGGUAGAAGAUGGGAAGAACCAAACACCUGAGAAACCACUUUGAAGAUCAGGGUCAGAGUAAGGCCUAACACAUAGUUGGCUCCCAGUAAUUAUUGGUUGAUUGAAUGGCUCAAAGAGCAACUCGACCAAGAACACUGGACUGGGAGUCCAGUUACUUGGAUCUUGCAUUCCUGAUUUAUUUUUAUUUUAUAUGUAUUUUUUUAUUUUUUUGAGACGGAGUCUCACUCACUCUGUCGCCCAGGCUGUACUACAAUGGCACGAUCUCGGCUCACUGCAAACUCUGCCUCACAGGUUCAAGCGAUUCUCCUGCCUCAGCCUCUCGAGUAGCUGGGAUUACAGGCAUGCACCACCAUGCUGGCUAAUUUUUGUAUUUUUAGUAGAGACGGGGUUUUGCCAUGUUGGCCAUGCUGGUGUCGACCUCCUGACCUCAGUUGAUCUUCCUGCCUCAGCCUUCCAAAAUGUUGGGAUUACAGGCGUGAGCCACCGUGCCUGGCCGUGAUUUAUUUUUUUUGUGUAUGUUUGUUUGUUUUUGUCAACUUGCUGUGUGACCUUAAGCAAGUUACUUAACUUCUCUGGGCUUCACUUUCCAUGGAUGAACAUUGUAAAGAGGCUGGAGAGAGAUGAGGACUAGGUACAGGCCUUAGAGGAGAGCCACCGCCCCGGACUUCUCCCUCUGUCACCCCGCUUUCCAUGACCCUCCUUGCCUGACUUUGUGACUCCUUGCCUCGCUAUCAAAACAAGUGCUGCAAUCUCAGUGCUUUCCAAGAGCCCGGCAUUGUUAGAAACUUCCCGGCACGCAGCAAAGGCUGCUGCGAUACUCGCUCUGCCUGCCUUUGCCCUGCGCUUCCUACAUACCCUCCUUUUGUUUCUCCUAAACAUCUGUCCCUGACUAUGCUCGUCUCAUGUUUGUCCUCAGCUGCUGAAAGGGCCACGUUUGUUUUCAUUACAAAUAAGACCACCGAGUGGGCUCCUGGCGUGGGGGCGGGAGCAGCCGCGCGCAGUCUUCAGAGGCAGCCCCCUAGGCUCUCUCUGGAGGGUGUGUCUCUGCUUCCCUUUCCCCGUGUUUAUUUUUAGACGAAGCCAAGUGGCCCGGGGGGACCCUCCGGACUCCCAGCUUUCGGAGGGGAGGGCAGCUCGGGCUUUCGCCCCAGUGCUUCCUGCCCGUCACGUGUGUGUUCCUAGCCGGGGUCGGGGGAGCUGGUAUCUUGGCCCUUCUGGGAGGACGCGCACAGCCCGAGGAGGAAGAGCCAAGGACCCCAGGGAGAAGAGAAAGGAGUUCAUGAAGGCAGAAAUGCCUGGGGCCCACGAACAUCCCAGUGUGGCCCUGGACGGGACAUCAUGCUGGGCAACACAGCUAAAAUGCGGGUGAAGACCAGAUUUCUUGCACAUGGCGGUGACGGGAUGCUCCCUAGAGAGCUUCAAGUGGAUUCUUUGCUUUUUAUUUUCUCUCUUAAUAAAAAUGUAUGAUGUUUACAUUGUCAGAG